Cyphellophora europaea CBS 101466 is the source of this 91-nucleotide transfer RNA. It matches the Rfam family "tRNA". Rfam says of the family: Transfer RNA (tRNA) molecules are approximately 80 nucleotides in length. The record is from Rfam. Lineage: Eukaryota; Fungi; Ascomycota; Eurotiomycetes; Chaetothyriales; Cyphellophoraceae.
GCCCGCGUGGCUUAGUGGUACAGCGUCUCACUCGUAUGCACCGUUCAUAGCGACCAUGAGAAGAUCAUCGGUUCGAUUCCGAUCGUGGGCA